This 216-nucleotide ribosomal RNA is filed under the name Escherichia coli. RNAcentral describes it as "partial 16S ribosomal RNA". It matches the Rfam family "Bacterial small subunit ribosomal RNA", at positions 1 to 215 of the family's 1533-position model. The record is from RNAcentral. Lineage: Bacteria; Pseudomonadati; Pseudomonadota; Gammaproteobacteria; Enterobacterales; Enterobacteriaceae. RNAcentral also lists the same sequence under 1 other name.
AAAUUGAAGAGUUUGAUCAUGGCUCAGAUUGAACGCUGGCGGCAGGCCUAACACAUGCAAGUCGAACGGUAACAGGAAGCAGCUUGCUGCUUCGCUGACGAGUGGCGGACGGGUGAGUAAUGUCUGGGAAACUGCCUGAUGGAGGGGGAUAACUACUGGAAACGGUAGCUAAUACCGCAUAACGUCGCAAGACCAAAGAGGGGGACCUUCGGGCCU